CGUAUUGCAUCUUCCAGAACUCCCUGCCUCCAUCUCUCUACUCCUAUACCUCUAUCUCUCUAGCUCGAUACCUCCAUUUCUCAAACACAGCAAUUAUAUCCCUCAAAAUCACUGUAAUCUACACCCCGGCCAUGGACAAUAACGGGUUGAUGUAUCGCAUAUCUUGGAAGAUCAAAUAUCGGGUUCUCUUGGAAGAUCAAAUACAGAAGAAACAGACGACUGGCAGAUGUAGUCUCAAUCUUGGAUUUACAGACAAAAAUGGAGUUUCUACCUAAUUUAGGAGAUUAUCACUUACAUCGUAGCUCACAACUUUGUUGGCAUAUGGUGAUUAACAUAAUGGUGUUGGAUUUGAUAUAUGUAAUUGCUACAACAUACUAUUUUCAACUCAGUAUCCAUCCUGAGAACAUCACGAUAGGAGCCAUAGUACCAAUCAUUGGAACUCUCAAUACCAGAAAUCGUUACAGCUCUUCUUCUUGCACUGGAACUCUCAUAUAGAUACCGGCUCUUCUUGCACUGGAACCAUUUGCAGACAGAAGAACUUUUCCUUUCCAUCACUACGUUUUGCCGGACGACCACUACCUUGACAGCGCUUCUUUUCUUGAAGGUUGAUAAACCGCGAGCACGAACGUACCCAUUCGGGAAGAGAACUGUGAAUUUUGAAGAAAUUUCUGGGUUAUCGUUUGCUGUAUACGAUAAUUAUACCUGCAUUAUAUAGGCUUUAAUUGUGCUGCGUACAUUGUAAGAGUUCUGAACCUAUAUUAAUUCCCAUAUAGUAUUAAUUGCUGUCGUCGAUUCGAUCGAUUCGUUUUUUUAAACAAACUUUUUGCGGCUAUUCAUCUAGGACUGCAAUUAAUACUCUUUCCUUUCCCAUGUAAUGAAUAAAUCUAUGUAAUGAAUGCAAAAUAUCAAUUCUCAAACAUUGGAUACCAAAA
This is a long non-coding RNA of Ipomoea triloba (trilobed morning glory), 932 nucleotides long. RefSeq lists it as uncharacterized. The record is from RefSeq and is a predicted model, not a curated record. NCBI's taxonomy places the organism in Eukaryota, Viridiplantae, Streptophyta, Magnoliopsida, Solanales, Convolvulaceae. The transcript has 6 exons.